Molecule: ribosomal RNA, 510 nt
Filed under: uncultured Salinimicrobium sp.
Lineage: Bacteria; Pseudomonadati; Bacteroidota; Flavobacteriia; Flavobacteriales; Flavobacteriaceae
Description: bacterial SSU rRNA
Rfam family: Bacterial small subunit ribosomal RNA
Source: RNAcentral
AAUGGGCGAGAGCCUGAUCCAGCCAUGCCGCGUGCAGGAAGACUGCCCUAUGGGUUGUAAACUGCUUUUAUGAGGGAAGAAACACCUCCACGUGUGGAGGCUUGACGGUACCGUAAGAAUAAGGAUCGGCUAACUCCGUGCCAGCAGCCGCGGUAAUACGGAGGAUCCAAGCGUUAUCCGGAAUCAUUGGGUUUAAAGGGUCCGUAGGCGGGUGCGUAAGUCAGUGGUGAAAGUCUGCAGCUUAACUGUAGAACUGCCAUUGAUACUGCACACCUUGAGUAAUUAUGAAGUGGUUAGAAUAUGUAGUGUAGCGGUGAAAUGCAUAGAUAUUACAUAGAAUACCGAUUGCGAAGGCAGAUCACUAAUAAUUUACUGACGCUGAUGGACGAAAGCGUAGGUAGCGAACAGGAUUAGAUACCCUGGUUUUUUACGCCGUAAACGAUGGUUACUAGCUGUUUGGACCAAUUGAGGGCUGAGUGGCUAAGCGAAAGUGAUAAGUAACCCACCUGG